UACGUAGGGGGCAAGCGUUGUUCGGAAUGACUGGGCGUAAGGGGUGCGUAGGCGGUGUAGCAAGUUAGAAGUGAAAUACCUAGAGCUUAACUCAGGUGCUGCUUCUAAAACUGCUAUACUUGAGUGCAGUAGAGGAAAGUGGAAUUCCUAGUGUAGCGGUGGAAUGCGUAGAUAUUAGGAGGAACAUCAGUGGCGAAGGCGACUUUCUGGACUGUAACUGACGCUGAGGCACGAAAGUGUGGGGAGCAAACAGG
RNAcentral lists this ribosomal RNA (254 nucleotides) under uncultured bacterium. Its description in RNAcentral is "partial 16S ribosomal RNA". It matches the Rfam family "Bacterial small subunit ribosomal RNA", at positions 524 to 776 of the family's 1533-position model. The record is from RNAcentral.